This 71-nucleotide transfer RNA is filed under the name Chloroflexota bacterium. RNAcentral describes it as "Chloroflexi bacterium tRNA-Gln". The record is from RNAcentral. Lineage: Bacteria; Bacillati; Chloroflexota.
UGGGGCGCAAUGGCUAGCGCGCUUCGUUCUGGACGAAGAGGCCGAUGGUUCUAGUCCACUCACCCCGACCA